Non-coding RNA from Pelobates cultripes (western spadefoot toad), 239 nucleotides. The record is from the annotation of a GenBank genome assembly. Lineage: Eukaryota; Metazoa; Chordata; Amphibia; Anura; Pelobatidae.
GUGGCUCCUGAGUCUCGGAGCCCCUGCACCGCUUUUCCUUCCAGAUAUACAGUUUGCCUGUGGUGUUGGCGAUUAUCUGCAUUGGCUUGUAGCGGGUUGGCUUCAUGUACUACCUCCCACUGUUCUAUUGUAGUGACGGGGACUGCGGAGCCAUAGGCGGCGGCUGUCUCCUCCUGGUAGUGGUGUGCGGCUGCUCUCGGUGGUGGUGGUGGUGGACCUGGCCUUAUCCAGGUAGAUCG